Molecule: non-coding RNA, 207 nt
Filed under: Ochromonas sp. CCMP1393
Lineage: Eukaryota; Chrysophyceae; Chromulinales; Chromulinaceae
Source: RNAcentral
CAGUGGCAAUGAUGCGCCUUUUACUGCUAGUAGUAGUGAGCCCACCGUCAAAGUAGGUGACAUAUGCUUGCCUUCGUCAGAGUUUGAGGAAUGUUUUUCGUUCGAUGAAGACGAAGGCUUAAUUCCGAUCAGUGCCAAAGUGCGCGAAGAGAUUGCCCGCCAGGCGAUUAAAUUCUGGAACCUCACCAACAACGAUGCGGUCAGUGA